GACGAACGCUGGCGGCGUGCUUAAUACAUGCAAGUCGAACGGAAAGGCUCUGCUUUUUUGGGGUGCUCGAGUGGCGAACGGGUGAGUAACAAGUGAGUAAACUGCCUUUGACUUUGGGAUAACUUCAGGUAACUGGGGCUAACAACGGAUAGGUGCUCCUGCUGCAUGGUGGGGGUUGGAAAGUUUCUGCGGUAGGGGAUGGAUUCGAGGCUUAUCAGCUUGUUGGUGGAGUGGUGGCUUACGAAGGCUUUGACGGGUAGCCGGCAUGGGAAGGUGACCGGCCACAUGGGUACUGAGAGAGGGCCCAGACUCCAACGUUAGGCAGCAGGGGAAAAUAUGGCGCAGUAAGCGGAAGCCUGAUGCGACAACGCCGCGUGCGUGAUGACGGCUUGCUAGUGAUAAAUCGCUUUGUCCUAUGACUACAUGUAAGUGACGGUAAUGGGUAAAGAAGCACCGGCUAACUACGUG
This 468-nucleotide ribosomal RNA is filed under the name uncultured bacterium. Its description in RNAcentral is "partial 16S ribosomal RNA". It matches the Rfam family "Bacterial small subunit ribosomal RNA", at positions 28 to 507 of the family's 1533-position model. The record is from RNAcentral.